GAUGAACGCUGGCGGCAUGCCUAAUACAUGCAAGUCGAACGAAAAGAUGAUGAGCUUGUGCUUCUGACGUUAGCGGCUGGCGGGUGGGUGACACGUGGAUAACCUACCUAUUAUUCGUGGAUAACUUCGUAAAACAGGAUCUAAUAACGUAUAAUAUAUUGAACCGCAUGGUUCAAUGGUUAAUGACGGUUUUCGUGGUUGUAUUAGAUGGUUCCGCGCUGCAUUAGCUAGUUGGUAAGGUAACGGCUUACCAAGGCAACGAUGCGUAGCCGAUCUGAGAGGGUGAUCGGCCACACUGGAACUGAGACACGGUCCAGACUCCUACGGGAGGCAGCAGUAGGGAAUCUUCGGCAAUGGGCGCAAGCCUGACGCAGCAAUGCCGCGUGAGUGAAGAAGGCCUUCGGAUCGUAAAGCCCUGUUAUUGGGGAAGAAAAACUGCAGAAGUAAACAUGGACGUUUUGACGGUACCCAAUCAGAAAGCACCGGCUAACUACGUG
RNAcentral lists this ribosomal RNA (497 nucleotides) under uncultured bacterium. RNAcentral's name for it is "partial 16S ribosomal RNA". It matches the Rfam family "Bacterial small subunit ribosomal RNA", at positions 28 to 507 of the family's 1533-position model. The record is from RNAcentral.